This 394-nucleotide ribosomal RNA is filed under the name uncultured bacterium. Its description in RNAcentral is "bacterial SSU rRNA". It matches the Rfam family "Bacterial small subunit ribosomal RNA", at positions 29 to 410 of the family's 1533-position model. The record is from RNAcentral.
AACGAACGCUGGCGGCGUGCCUAACACAUGCAAGUCGAGCGCGAAUGGAGCAAUCCUAGUAGAGCGGCGCACGGGUGCGUAACACGUGGGUAAUCUGCCUCAAAGCCCGGGAUAACCUGCCGAAAGGCAAGCUAAUACCGGAUAAGCCUACGGACUCUUCGGGGUCUGAAGGAAAAGGUGGCCUCUGUAUACAAGCUAUCACUUUGAGAUGAGCCCGCGGCCCAUCAGCUCGUUGGCGGGGUAACGGCCCACCAAGGCAACGACGGGUAGCUGGUCUGAGAGGACGAUCAGCCACACUGGAACUGAGACACGGUCCAGACUCCUACGGGAGGCAGCAGUGGGGAAUUUUGCGCAAUGGGCGAAAGCCUGACGCAGCAACGCCGCGUGUGUGAUA